Molecule: ribosomal RNA, 1348 nt
Filed under: uncultured prokaryote
Description: partial 16S ribosomal RNA
Rfam family: Bacterial small subunit ribosomal RNA
Source: RNAcentral
GAUCCUGGCUCAGGAUGAACGCUAGCGGCAGGCCUAACACAUGCAAGUCGAGGGGGAUAUGGUGCUUGCACCAUAGAGACCGGCGCACGGGUGCGUAACGCGUAUGCAAUCUACCUUGUACAGGGGAAUAGCCCAGGGAAACUUGGAUUAAUGCCCCAUAGUAUUAUUUUGUAGCAUUACAUUAUAAUUAAAGAUUUAUCGGUACAAGAUGAGCAUGCGUCCCAUUAGUUAGUUGGUGAGGUAACGGCUUACCAAGACAACGAUGGGUAGGGGCCCUGAGAGGGGGAUCCCCCACACUGGUACUGAGACACGGACCAGACUCCUACGGGAGGCAGCAGUGAGGAAUAUUGGACAAUGGGCGGAAGCCUGAUCCAGCCAUGCCGCGUGCAGGAAGACUGCCCUAUGGGUUGUAAACUGCUUUUGUACGGGAAGAAACACCCCCACGUGUGGGGGCUUGACGGUACCGUAAGAAUAAGCAUCGGCUAACUCCGUGCCAGCAGCCGCGGUAAUACGGAGGAUGCAAGCGUUAUCCGGAAUCAUUGGGUUUAAAGGGUCCGCAGGCGGUCAAUUAAGUCAGAGGUGAAAUCCCACAGCUCAACUGUGGAACUGCCUUUGAUACUGGUUGUCUUGAGGUAUAGUGAAGUAGAUAGAAUAUGUAGUGUAGCGGUGAAAUGCUUAGAGAUUACAUAGAAUACCGAUUGCGAAGGCAGUCUACUAAACACUAUAUUGACGCUGAGGGACGAAAGCGUUGGGGAGCGAACAGGAUUAGAUACCCUAGUAGUCCACGCCGUAAACGAUGGAUACUAGCUGUUCGGUAGCAAUACUGAGUGGCUAAGCGAAAGUGAUAAGUAUCCCACCUGGGGAGUACGUUCGCAAGAAUGAAACUCAAAGGAAUUGACGGGGGCCCGCACAAGCGGUGGAGCAUGUGGUUUAAUUCGAUGAUACGCGAGGAACCUUACCAGGGCUUAAAUGUAGCUUGACAGGGGUAGAAAUACCUCCUCCUUCGGGCAAGUUACAAGGUGACGCAUGGUUGUCGUCAGCUCGUGCCGUGAGGUGUCAGGUUAAGUCCUAUAACGAGCGCAACCCCUGUCGUUAGUUGCCAGCAUGUCAUGAUGGGGACUCUAACGAGACUGCCGGUGCAAACCGUGAGGAAGGUGGGGAUGACGUCAAAUCAUCACGGCCCUUACGUCCUGGGCCACACACGUGCUACAAUGGUCGGUACAGAGGGCAGCCACACCGCGAGGUGGAGCGAAUCCUUAAAACCGAUCUCAGUUCGGAUCGGAGUCUGCAACUCGACUCCGUGAAGCUGGAAUCGCUAGUAAUCGGAUAUCAGCCAUGAUCCAACUCU